CCAGACUCCUACGGGAGGCAGCAGUGGGGAAUAUUGGGCAAUGGGGGAAACCCUGACCCAGCGACGCCGCGUGAGGGAAGAAGGUUUUCGGAUUGUAAACCUCUGUCCUUGGUGACGAUAAUGACGGUAGCCAAGGAGGAAGCAUCGGCUAACUCCGUGCCAGCAGCCGCGGUAAUACGGAGGAUGCGAGCGUUAUCCGGAUUUAUUGGGUUUAAAGGGUGCGUAGGCGGAUUUUUAAGUCAGCGGUAAAAUGUCCGGGCUCAACCCGGGCCGGCCGUUGAAACUGGGGAUCUUGAGUGGGCGAGAAGUAUGCGGAAUGCGUGGUGUAGCGGUGAAAUGCAUAGAUAUCACGCAGAACUCCGAUUGCGAAGGCAGCAUACCGGCGCCCGACUGACGCUGAGGCACGAAAGCGUGGGGAUCGAACAGGAUUAGAUACCCUUGUA
RNAcentral lists this ribosomal RNA (443 nucleotides) under uncultured bacterium. RNAcentral describes it as "partial 16S ribosomal RNA". It matches the Rfam family "Bacterial small subunit ribosomal RNA", at positions 331 to 792 of the family's 1533-position model. The record is from RNAcentral.